This 104-nucleotide ribosomal RNA is filed under the name Acanthosepion pharaonis. Lineage: Eukaryota; Metazoa; Mollusca; Cephalopoda; Sepiida; Sepiidae. The record is from RNAcentral.
AAUACAUCCGUUGAAAUACCAGUUCUAGUACGAUCACCGAAGUUAAGCAAUGUCCAAGCCUGGUCAGUACGUAGAUGGGUGACCGCUUGGGAAUACCAGGUGCU